CCGCAGCGGGGCGGACGGCGUCGGGGUUUGGAACAAAGGGCCCUUUUUGUGCGUUUGGGGCAGGGCGCAGCUGCGGGGCUGGGUGGCACCGUUGGCUCCGGCCCCGCAGUCGCUGUGGGAUCGCGGGCAGCGCGGCAGCGCGGCGCUUUCGGCCCAGCGAGCGAAGCCGGGGGGGGGGAAUCGCCGUGGGACGGCGCGGAUCCCAAUGGGGCAGCGAUCGGAGAAGAACGUCCCCAGGGCGGCCCGGGGGGCUUUCUGCCUCCUGCAGAUCCCGGAACCCGACCCGUUCGGUCUGUGGGUUUAGGGGAUGAGCUGUGACCCCGCCGAGCCGUUCCUGCGUGCCGAUCCCCGAUGGGAAACCGCCGCGCUGCGCCACGGAGCGAGCAAUGCACGGCGCGUCCUGCUUGUAGGGUGAAUGGGGACGGAGCCCCGUAGGACCCCGUGGAUCGGAGCAGCACGUGAGCACAUGGCCAACGAAACGGGGAUGGAGGAAACCGCGCCGCGCUGGAGGAGAGCAGCGCACGGCGCCCGCGGGGCGAUGGAGAGCAAUGGGGUCGUGGGGGCGGUCCCGCCCCACAGCGCGACCCUCGAGUCGCCCCUCCACGGCUACCAGGAGCCCGGCAAGCUGAGCCACAAGUGCUGCCCGUGGAGCUGCUCCGAGGGAUGCUCGGAACCGGCCGGCAUCCACACGGGCUGCCCCUUCCUGCCGGCCGCGCAGUGCGCACGGGACGCGCCGUGCCACCCCAAGGACACCCGGCUGCUGCCGCCCCUCCCCAAAAACGGGCAGCCCAAAGGCUGGGCUGAGCCCCCCAAGGAGCGCCCGCGUUGGGCAGAGGCCGUGCUGGGCCCCCUGGCCCUCUACAGCCACGGGUACCACCGCUACCCCGUGCCCUUCCCCGUGGAGAGAAAACCCCACAGCGGCACGGAUGGAGACCCCAAAACCUUCCGCCACUGCCCCUUCCUCCUGUCCUCAGCGCUGCCCGCGGAGCCCCGAUUUGGGGGCACGGAGGGCGUGACGGGCAGCGAUUGGCACCUGGGAUCCUACGUGCCAACCUGGGGGCAGCCCCUCUACUUGGGGGUCCCACCGAGGGGAAAAGCGGCCCCCACCCCAUUCAGUGACUGCUCUGGAUCGGGGAAUAGGGUAAGGGUGGUCCUCUGGGUACCCCGUUGUGUGGGGGUGGGGGUCCAUGGGGAUUUGGGGUCAGUGGGGAUGGGGGUCCAUGGGGAUUUGGGGUUCAUGGGGAUGGGGGUCCAUGGGGAUGGGAAUCCACGGGGAUUUGGGGUCCAUGAGGAUUUGGAGUCAGUGGGGAUGGAGGUCCAUGGGAACAGGGUCCGUGAGGAUG
This 1343-nucleotide long non-coding RNA is filed under the name Chrysolophus pictus (golden pheasant). RNAcentral's name for it is "lncRNA (ENSCPIG00010005683.1)". Lineage: Eukaryota; Metazoa; Chordata; Aves; Galliformes; Phasianidae. The record is from RNAcentral.